UACAAAGGGGGCUAGCGUUGCUCGGAAUCACUGGGCGUAAAGCGCACGUAGGCGGACUCUUAAGUCGGGGGUGAAAUCCUGGAGCUCAACUCCAGAACUGCCUUCGAUACUGAGAGUCUUCGAGUUCGGGAGAGGUGAGUGGAACUGCGAGUGUAGAGGUGAAAUUCGUAGAUAUUCGCAAGAACACCAGUGGCGAAGGCGGCUCACUGGCCCGAUACUGACGCUGAGGUGCGAAAGCGUGGGGAGCAAACAGG
Molecule: ribosomal RNA, 254 nt
Filed under: uncultured bacterium
Lineage: Bacteria
Description: partial 16S ribosomal RNA
Rfam family: Bacterial small subunit ribosomal RNA
Source: RNAcentral